GACGAACGCUGGCGGCGUGCUUAACACAUGCAAGUCGAGCGGUAAGGCCCUUUCGGGGGUACACGAGCGGCGAACGGGUGAGUAACACGUGGGUGACCUGCCCUUAGCUCUGGGAUAAGCCUGGGAAACUGGGUCUAAUACCGGAUAUGACUCCAUGACGCAUGUUGUGGGGUGGAAAGCCUUGUGCGGCUAGGGAUGGGCCCGCGGCCUAUCAGCUUGUUGGUGGGGUGAUGGCCUACCAAGGCGACGACGGGUAGCCGGCCUGAGAGGGCGACCGGCCACACUGGGACUGAGACACGGCCCAGACUCCUACGGGAGGCAGCAGUGGGGAAUCUUGCGCAAUGGGCGAAGGCCUGACGCAGCGACGCCGCGUGAGGGAUGACGGCCUCGGUU
RNAcentral lists this ribosomal RNA (393 nucleotides) under uncultured bacterium. RNAcentral describes it as "bacterial SSU rRNA". It matches the Rfam family "Bacterial small subunit ribosomal RNA", at positions 28 to 424 of the family's 1533-position model. The record is from RNAcentral.